Molecule: ribosomal RNA, 253 nt
Filed under: uncultured bacterium
Lineage: Bacteria
Description: partial 16S ribosomal RNA
Rfam family: Bacterial small subunit ribosomal RNA
Source: RNAcentral
UACGGAGGGGGCUAGCGUUGUUCGGAAUUACUGGGCGUAAAGCGCACGUAGGCGGACUGGAAAGUCAGGGGUGAAAUCCCGGGGCUCAACCCCGGAAUGGCCUCCGAUACUGGCAAUCUUGAGGUCGGGAGAGGUGAGUGGAAUGGCGAGUGUAGAGGUGAAAUUCGUAGAUAUUCGCCGGAACACCAGUGGCGAGGGCGGCUCACUGGCCCGAUACUGACGCUGAGGUGCGAAAGCGUGGGGAGCAAACAGG